UGACAACAAAACGAAAGAAUGAUGGAGCCACAGUACCUCACAACAUAAAUAUAACAGGAGGGAAUAAUAUAAAACAGCAGAAUGUUGCCAAUUUCGUGUAUGGUGGUAUGGGGAAUACCAUCAACAACAGUACCUGGAUUUCACAAUCUGACACCAGCUACAUUUAAGAAGAUCUUGCUCACACAAUUCAGACAAGGGACUUGCCGGGUGAUGAACAAUCCUCCCGAUAUCAACCAACAGAUUCACCUCAGAAAGUGAUCAGAAUGAAUGAUGCCACAUCAGUGUGACUGUAGGUGGUUAUAUUAUGACACUAAUCAAAUCUGAAUGAAUUUAUGCAAAAGCACUGUGACUAUGUCCAGGUUGUGUACACCGAAGCUGACUAUACAAAUCUGAAUGACUUUUGUGGUUUACUGCAGAAACAUAAUUGACUUUAGAUAUUCUUCUUCCAUGAAAUUCUUCUGAGAUUUGACUAAUUUGUUUAUUAAGAAAUUGGCAUUGAAGCGUCUGUUCUGUAAGGCCUUGCAAACACCACUGGUUACUUUAUGCUAGUUCCUCUUGCUUGAUCAAAUUUCAAUUUGUGAUAUGUACCAACGAAAUGCCAUAUAAUCAAUAAACAAGAU
Haliotis rufescens (red abalone) is the source of this 620-nucleotide long non-coding RNA. RefSeq lists it as uncharacterized. The transcript has 3 exons. Lineage: Eukaryota; Metazoa; Mollusca; Gastropoda; Lepetellida; Haliotidae. The record is from RefSeq and is a predicted model, not a curated record.